CGACCGCGGCCCAUGUUCGGUGCGAUCGCUUUGUGCAUCUUCCGCUGGGGCGGGGGACCCUGGUAGCGCGUCCGUAUGGGGAGGACCUCGAGCAGCCACCAGUACGGUGCCAAGACGAGCUGGUCGUAUAUGGGCGAGAGGGCGUCGCGCACUUCAUGCUCCUCCUCGCUGACUUCGGGCGCAGGACCGGCGACGGUGUUGAAGUGAGGGGUGUCGGGUUGCAGCGCGCCGGG
This 233-nucleotide unclassified non-coding RNA is filed under the name Hevea brasiliensis (rubber tree). The record is from RNAcentral. Lineage: Eukaryota; Viridiplantae; Streptophyta; Magnoliopsida; Malpighiales; Euphorbiaceae.